Molecule: ribosomal RNA, 206 nt
Filed under: uncultured bacterium
Lineage: Bacteria
Description: partial 16S ribosomal RNA
Rfam family: Bacterial small subunit ribosomal RNA
Source: RNAcentral
GGUGUAGGCGGAGCGGUAAGUACCUUGUGAAAUCCCGGGCUCAACCCGGGAAUGGCUCGGUAUACUGUCGCUCUUGAGGCAGGCAGGGGCUACUGGAACCUUAGGUGGAGCGGUGAAAUGCGUAGAUAUCUAAGGGAACGCCUGUGGCGAAAGCGGGUGGCUGGGCCUGUUCUGACGCUGAGACCCGAAAGCGUAGGGAGCGAACG